RNAcentral lists this transfer RNA (72 nucleotides) under Vicugna pacos (alpaca). RNAcentral's name for it is "tRNA-Ala (AGC) (tRNA-Ala-AGC-598-1)". It matches the Rfam family "tRNA". Rfam says of the family: Transfer RNA (tRNA) molecules are approximately 80 nucleotides in length. Their secondary structure includes four short double-helical elements and three loops (D, anti-codon, and T loops). Lineage: Eukaryota; Metazoa; Chordata; Mammalia; Artiodactyla; Camelidae. The record is from Rfam by way of RNAcentral.
GAGGGUAUAGCUCAAUGGUAGAGUGUGUGCCUAGCAUGCUCAAGGUCCUGGGUUCAAUCCCCAGUACCUCCA